RNAcentral lists this ribosomal RNA (253 nucleotides) under uncultured bacterium. RNAcentral describes it as "partial 16S ribosomal RNA". It matches the Rfam family "Bacterial small subunit ribosomal RNA", at positions 524 to 776 of the family's 1533-position model. The record is from RNAcentral.
UACGUAGGGGCCUAGCGUUGUCCGGAAUUACUGGGCGUAAAGAGCUCGUAGGUGGUUUGUCGCGUUGUUCGUGAAAACUCACAGCUUAACUGUGGGCGUGCGGGCGAUACGGGCAGACUUGAGUACUGCAGGGGAGACUGGAAUUCCUGGUGUAGCGGUGGAAUGCGCAGAUAUCAGGAGGAACACCGGUGGCGAAGGCGGGUCUCUGGGCAGUAACUGACGCUGAGGAGCGAAAGCGUGGGGAGCGAACAGG